UCCAAUGGAUUCCUAAGCACUUGAUGCACGU
This 31-nucleotide non-coding RNA is filed under the name Homo sapiens (human). Lineage: Eukaryota; Metazoa; Chordata; Mammalia; Primates; Hominidae. The record is from RNAcentral.